RNAcentral lists this ribosomal RNA (251 nucleotides) under uncultured bacterium. RNAcentral's name for it is "partial 16S ribosomal RNA". It matches the Rfam family "Bacterial small subunit ribosomal RNA", at positions 524 to 776 of the family's 1533-position model. The record is from RNAcentral.
UACGUAGGGGGCAAGCGUUGUCCGGAUUUAUUGGGCGUAAAGAGCGUGUAGGCGGCCUGGUAGGUCAGCUGUGAAAACUCGAGGCUCAACCUCGAGACGCCGGUUGAAACCAUCAGGCUAGAGUCCGGAAGAGGAGAGUGGAAUUCCUGGUGUAGCGGUGAAAUGCGCAUAUCAGGAAGAACACCCGUGGCGAAAGCGGCUCUCUGGAACGGUACUGACGCUGAGACGCGAAAGCGUGGGGAGCGAACAGG